UCGAUUUGGAGUUUGUUGCCUAGAGUGAUGGGCUCCGAAGCUAACGCGAUAAAUCGACCGCCUGGGGAGUACGGCCGCAAGGUUAAAACUCAAAUGAAUUGACGGGGGCCCGCACAAGCGGUGGAGCAUGUGGUUUAAUUCGAUGCAACGCGAAGAACCUUACCUGGUCUUGACAUCCACAGAAUCUUUCAGAAAUGAGGGAGUGCCUUCGGGAACUGUGAGACAGGUGCUGCAUGGCUGUCGUCAGCUCGUGUUGUGAAAUGUUGGGUUAAGUCCCGCAACGAGCGCAACCCUUAUCCUUUGUUGCCAGCGAUUAGGUCGGGAACUCAAAGGAGACUGCCGUUGAUAAAACGGAGGAAGGUGGGGACGACGUCAAGUCAUCAUGGCCCUUACGACCAGGGCUACACACGUGCUACAAUGGCGUAUACAAAGGGAAGCGAAGGUGCGAGCUGGAGCGGACCUCCUAAAGUACGUCUAAGUCCGGAUUGGAGUCUGCAACUCGACUCCAUGAAGUCGGAAUCGCUAGUAAUCGUGAAUCAGAAUGUCACGGUGAAAUACGUUCCCGGGCCU
This 570-nucleotide ribosomal RNA is filed under the name uncultured Gammaproteobacteria bacterium. RNAcentral's name for it is "bacterial SSU rRNA". It matches the Rfam family "Bacterial small subunit ribosomal RNA", at positions 812 to 1381 of the family's 1533-position model. The record is from RNAcentral. Lineage: Bacteria; Pseudomonadati; Pseudomonadota; Gammaproteobacteria.